AUGAUGUGCGGGUGCCCUCCGCCGUGCAGCCGGCCACCGCCGAGACCCAGGACAUCGCCGACCGGGUGAGGUCCCAGCUUGAAGAGAAAGAAAACAAGAAGUUCCCUGUAUUUAAGGCCGUGUCGUUCAAGAGCCAGGUGGUCGCGGGGACAAACUACUUCAUCAAGGUGCACGUUGGCGACGAAGACUUCGUACACCUGCGAGUGUUCAAAUCUCUCCCUCACGAAAACAAGCCUUUGACCUUGUCUAACUACCAGACCAACAAAGCCAAGCACGACGAGCUGAGCUAUUUCUGAUCCUGACUUUGGACAGGACCCUUCAGCCAGAAGACUGAUAAUUAAAGUGAUCCUCCGGGGACCAGAGCAUGCACUUGUGAUCCUAAAAUAAGCUUCAUCUCCGGGCUGUGCCCUCGGGGUGGAAGGGGCGGGAUUCAGCAGCUGCUCUUGCAUUUCUCUUCCUAAAUUUCAUUGUGUUGAUUUCUUUCCUUCCCAAUCAGUGAUCU
This is an RNA transcript of Rhinopithecus roxellana (golden snub-nosed monkey), 502 nucleotides long. It is a transcript of the gene named cystatin-B-like, with no coding region annotated. The transcript has a single exon. The record is from RefSeq and is a predicted model, not a curated record. Lineage: Eukaryota; Metazoa; Chordata; Mammalia; Primates; Cercopithecidae.